CAAUUUAGCAUCGUAGUGACCUGCGGAGGAUCAUUACCAAAAAGGAUACCCUCACCGGUAUACCCCACCCGUGUCUAUCUACUCUUGUUGCUUUGGCAGGCCGUGGUCUCCCACUGUGGGCUCUGCCUGCAUGUGCCUGCCAGAGGACCAAACUCUGAAUUUUAGUGAUGUCUGAGUACUAUAUAAUAGUUAAAACUUUCAACAACGGAUCUCUUGGUUCUGGCAUCGAUGAAGAACGCAGCGAAAUGCGAUAAGUAAUGUGAAUUGCAGAAUUCAGUGAAUCAUCGAAUCUUUGAACGCACAUUGCGCCCUGUGGUAUUCCGCAGGGCAUGCCUGUUCGAGCGUCAUUAUAGCCACUCAAGCCUCGCUUGGUGUUGGGGCUCGCAAUCUUGCGGCCUCUAAAAUCAGUGGCGGUGCCGGUAGGCUCUGAGCGUAGUACAUCUCCUCGCUAUAGAGUCCUGUCGGUCCCCUGCCAAAACCCCCAUAUUUUAUAGGUUGACCUCGGAUCAGGUAGGGAUACCCGCUGAACUUAAGCAUAUCAA
This 542-nucleotide ribosomal RNA is filed under the name Mollisia minutella. Its description in RNAcentral is "eukaryotic LSU rRNA". The stretch from base 194 to 347 matches the Rfam family "5.8S ribosomal RNA". The record is from RNAcentral. Lineage: Eukaryota; Fungi; Ascomycota; Leotiomycetes; Helotiales; Mollisiaceae.